CUGGGUCUUUUUUAAUUGUUUGGCACUGAUGGUAGGAGGUGAUUUUGAUUGCUGAUCUUGAAUACUUACGAAGCCAGCAAAGGAGAGUGAGUCAGCUGAACUGUUGUCUGCGGCAACAUCCACAGAUAUCUUGUUUUGAAGAUCUUAUUGCCGCCACCUGCCGGGAGGGUGUGGGAGAUGCGGAUUGCUGGAGUUUAGGAAUCAGGAUAAAAGCGAAACGCAUACAUUUGCCUAAAACUACAACAGUGAGUACCAAUGAUUUUAACUAUGGUAAAUUUGGAAGGUCAAAGUAGAUGAGAUUCCGAUUGUCUUCUCCUCUGGUCUAUUUACUCCAAGCAUCUUGUAUUUUGUUCUUUUUUGGUGGAAAUACCAAAGAAUUGUUGUAGUUUUAUGCAUUGUUCUCAAACUUGAUGGAUCCCCUGCCUGCUAAUACUGAAAACGGCCCCAUGAAAGCUUAUUAGUAUGUUUAAAUACGUACUUCCAAAGAUGGCUCAAGUUGCUGAUGCGUACGAGGAUAGCAUGGUUAGUCACUUGGAAGUAAGGAAUGGUGGAAAGAUCUUAGUGGAGGAUUGGGGUUCGAUUCCACUUAUUCGUCCAUGCCAUGGGCAUAGGGAACAUUACUCCGUGGUGUUGGUGGAGAUUCCUAGGGAAGUGUCUUCUAUAAAAAAAAAUUGUGGCAAUGAUAACGAUAUCCAUCAUUAUCACCGGACUGCUAUCGCGUUUGAGGGAGAGAGAGGUGGGCUGGGCUUUAGCCUGCAAAAUCUAUGCACUGGCAGCCGGAUGAUCAAAGCUUUCAAGCUUCUGGGCUCUGACCAUUUCAUAUAGUUGGAAUCUGGAACGUUGAAAUUUGGCUAGGCUACUUGUUUAAUUCCCAAGUGCUGUUUUAUUUUGAUUGAUAUUUUGCUAUAGUGUGGCUAACACCCUUUUCUGUGA
Molecule: long non-coding RNA, 933 nt
Organism: Juglans microcarpa x Juglans regia
Lineage: Eukaryota; Viridiplantae; Streptophyta; Magnoliopsida; Fagales; Juglandaceae
Exons: 2
Source: RefSeq, a predicted model, not a curated record